RNAcentral lists this ribosomal RNA (1385 nucleotides) under Latilactobacillus sakei. Its description in RNAcentral is "Lactobacillus sakei 16S ribosomal RNA". It matches the Rfam family "Bacterial small subunit ribosomal RNA", at positions 93 to 1460 of the family's 1533-position model. Lineage: Bacteria; Bacillati; Bacillota; Bacilli; Lactobacillales; Lactobacillaceae. The record is from RNAcentral.
GAGUGGCGGACGGGUGAGUAACACGUGGGUAACCUGCCCUAAAGUGGGGGAUAACAUUUGGAAACAGAUGCUAAUACCGCAUAAAACCUAACACCGCAUGGUGUAGGGUUGAAAGAUGGUUUCGGCUAUCACUUUAGGAUGGACCCGCGGUGCAUUAGUUAGUUGGUGAGGUAAAGGCUCACCAAGACCGUGAUGCAUAGCCGACCUGAGAGGGUAAUCGGCCACACUGGGACUGAGACACGGCCCAGACUCCUACGGGAGGCAGCAGUAGGGAAUCUUCCACAAUGGACGAAAGUCUGAUGGAGCAACGCCGCGUGAGUGAAGAAGGUUUUCGGAUCGUAAAACUCUGUUGUUGGAGAAGAAUGUAUCUGAUAGUAACUGAUCAGGUAGUGACGGUAUCCAACCAGAAAGCCACGGCUAACUACGUGCCAGCAGCCGCGGUAAUACGUAGGUGGCAAGCGUUGUCCGGAUUUAUUGGGCGUAAAGCGAGCGCAGGCGGUUUCUUAAGUCUGAUGUGAAAGCCUUCGGCUCAACCGAAGAAGUGCAUCGGAAACUGGGAAACUUGAGUGCAGAAGAGGACAGUGGAACUCCAUGUAGCGGUGAAAUGCGUAGAUAUAUGGAAGAACACCAGUGGCGAAGGCGGCUGUCUGGUCUGGUCUGUAACUGACGCUGAGGCUCGAAAGCAUGGGUAGCAAACAGGAUUAGAUACCCUGGUAGUCCAUGCCGUAAACGAUGAGUGCUAGGUGUUGGAGGGUUUCCGCCCUUCAGUGCCGCAGCUAACGCAUUAAGCACUCCGCCUGGGGAGUACGACCGCAAGGUUGAAACUCAAAGGAAUUGACGGGGGCCCGCACCAGCGGUGGAGCAUGUGGUUUAAUUCGAAGCAACGCGAAGAACCUUACCAGGUCUUGACAUCCUUUGACCACUCUAGAGAUAGAGCUUUCCCUUCGGGGACAAAGUGACAGGUGGUGCAUGGUUGUCGUCAGCUCGUGUCGUGAGAUGUUGGGUUAAGUCCCGCAACGAGCGCAACCCUUAUUACUAGUUGCCAGCAUUUAGUUGGGCACUCUAGUGAGACUGCCGGUGACAAACCGGAGGAAGGUGGGGACGACGUCAAAUCAUCAUGCCCCUUAUGACCUGGGCUACACACGUGCUACAAUGGAUGGUACAACGAGUUGCGAGACCGCGAGGUUUAGCUAAUCUCUUAAAACCAUUCUCAGUUCGGAUUGUAGGCUGCAACUCGCCUACAUGAAGCCGGAAUCGCUAGUAAUCGCGGAUCAGCAUGCCGCGGUGAAUACGUUCCCGGGCCUUGUACACACCGCCCGUCACACCAUGAGAGUUUGUAACACCCAAAGCCGGUGAGGUAACCCUUCGGGGAGCCAGCCGUCUAA